This 520-nucleotide ribosomal RNA is filed under the name uncultured organism. RNAcentral's name for it is "bacterial SSU rRNA". It matches the Rfam family "Bacterial small subunit ribosomal RNA", at positions 214 to 731 of the family's 1533-position model. The record is from RNAcentral.
GUCGCCUUUGGAUGGUUCCAACUCCUAUCAGCUUGUUGGUGAGGUAUUUGCUCACCAAGGCUUUGACGGGUAGGGGGACUGAGAGGUUGGCCCCCCACACCGGGACUGAGAGCUGCCCGGACACCUACGGGUGGCUGCAGUCGAGAAUCUUCGGCAAUGCGCAACCGCGUGACCGAGCGACGCCGCGUGCGGGAUGAAGGGUUUCGGCUCGUAAACCGCUGUUGGGGGGUAGCAAUAAUCACGGUAACCCCGUGUGAUGAGUAAAACCCCUGAGGAAGUCACAGCUAAUCACGUGCCAGCAGCUGCGGUAAUACGUGAGUGGCAAACGUUACUCGGAAUCACUGGGCCUAAAGGGGGCGCAGGCGGGCAGGAAAGUGGAGAUUGAAAUCCCACGGCUCAACCGUGGAAUUGGUUUCCAAAACUAUCUGUCUUGAGGACAGCAGGGGGGUGUAGAACUUCUGGUGGAGCGGUGAAAUGCGUACAUCUCAGACGGAAUACCGGUGGCGAAAGCGAUGCCCUG